Non-coding RNA from Doryrhamphus excisus (bluestripe pipefish), 9176 nucleotides. The record is from RefSeq and is a predicted model, not a curated record. NCBI's taxonomy places the organism in Eukaryota, Metazoa, Chordata, Actinopteri, Syngnathiformes, Syngnathidae.
UUGCAUCAGCACCAUAUUAGAGAGAGAGAGGGAGGCAGCGGAUCGUCACAAGCAUCCCGGAUUUGCCUCCUCCGUCGACGGUCCGCAGCCGAACAGCGAGCCGGGAACUCGGCUACAUCUUCCCCUCAGUGAUGGAGAGCCUUCUGGAUAACCCGAUGAAAGCCGUCUUGUACCUGAAGGAGCUCACCACCAUCGUGCAGAACCAGCAGAGCCUCAUCCAGACGCAGCGGCAGCGCAUCGACGAACUCGAGCGGAAGGUGGAGGACCUGAUCGGCGAGAACCGGCAGCUACGGGAUCCCCAUCAGUACGUGCAGCAGCAGCAGAACCAGCAGCACCAGAACCAGCAGCAGCACCACCACCACCCGCCGGCUCCGCAGGCGCACGCCCACCCGCAUCAGCACCACCAAAGCGGCGGCACCAAGGCUGCGGCGCACGCCGGCCAGCAGGCUCACCAUCAUCAUCAUCAGCAUCAGCAUCAUCAUCACCAACAGCAGCAGCAGCAGCCUCAGCAUCAGCAACAUCCCACCCCUCCUGCUCCGGCCCCCCACCACCCGCAGCAGCUCCAGCUGGUGCCCACCUCGCCACAGUCCCCCCAAGCUACCCAAGCCAGUCCGGACCCCACCGAGGAGGGCAAGAGGAACCCCUGCUGCAAGUCGCUGGUCCCGCAGACCCCCACCACGCUGUGCCGCUCGGUUGGACUGUCCAGGAAAACAGACAACCAAACCGUGCUGCAUCAGUUCUGCUGCCCAGCCCCGGAUGCCCCUGAGGGGGAGUCCUCUUCCGCUUGUGUCCCCAGCGACGACCUUUCUCCAGACCCGUCAGUCGGGGAGGAAGGGAAGGGAGGAGAGGGGGAGCUGCAGAGUGAGGCCCAGUCACAACCACGGCCCCAGGAGACUCCGCCCCCGCAGCCUCAGUGCGAACCGCAACCGCCGCCGCCUGAAACCGAACCCGAAUCAAAACCCGAAGCGGAAGCCGAGCCCGAAGUUGAAGCCUCGGGCGGGGAGGAAGCGCCGGAAGUUGGAUCCCCCCCCGGUGGCGGGGAGGAAGAACGCACGGAUGAGGAGGAAGCAAAGGAAAAGCAGGAAGCAGAGGAUGAUCAGGAUAAAGAAGUAGAAGAAGAAGAAGAAGAUGAGGAGGAGGAAGAAGGGGGAGGAGCUAAAGGAGGCGGGACGGCGAGGAGGGCCAGCCUUCACCACACCGCCUCGCCUCUGAGGGUGCAGCGCAACGGGGCCGGCUCCCACUCGGCCACUUCCGACUAUGAGCUCUCGCUCGACCUCAAAAACAAGCAGAUCGAAAUGUUAGAGCACAAAUACGGCGGCCACCUCAUUUCCCGUCGCGCCGCCUGCAAGAUCCAGACCGCCUUCCGCCAGUACCAGCUCAGCAAGAACUUUGAGAAGAUCCGCAACUCCCUGCUGGAGAGUCGCCUGCCGCGCCGCAUCUCCCUGCGCAAGGUGCGCGUGCAGAACACCGAGGGCUUCUCGGCUGAACGGGCGCUGGCAGAAGGCUGCAACGUGGCGGGCAUCCCCCUGGUGAGGUCGCCGUCGCUGCCCACCACGGUGGGCGGCUCCCUCACCGACCUGGAAGACUCUUUCACCGAGCAGGUGCAGUCGCUGGCAAAGUCCAUCGACGACGCGCUCAGCAACUGGAGCUUGAAGACCAUGUGCUCGCUGCAAGAGGGCGGAGCUUAUCAGUUCAACGCAGCCGCGGGGGGAGGCGAGGGAGAGUCGGGCGUUCAUCAAGGCCCGGUGGACCCGAGCGAUCUGUCAAAAAGUGCGAGCAAGCUCAUGAUGGCGUUCCGGGAUGUGACGGUCCAGAUCGACAGCCAGAACUUCCGGGUUUCGUCUUCCGUCGUGGAGUCGUCCACUUCCGUCACGCUGGGAAGCUGCACUCAGCAAGACGGAGCUUCCAUCACAGCAAACUCCGCCCCCAUUUCCGAGCCCUCACUGGAAACACCUGCCCCCCCAGCCGCCGACCCCAUAGAGCCCCCGCCGCCCCCGCUAGAGAACCCGCCUCCCCCGGAAAUAGACUCGGAUACAUGUGAUCAGGACGUUGAGUUCCCCGCUCCGCCGCCGAGCGAGGAAGAGCUCACGGGGGACGACCUGCCGCCCUUGACCCCCGUGGAAAAAACAGCUCCCCAGCCGCUCGCCGACGAGGUCGCGUUGGCGGCGCCGCCCCCGUCGGAGACCCCGAAACCUCCCCCGGCCGUCUCCGAGCCGCUGGAAGUCAAGCGUAGCGGCUCGGAGACGGCCGACAACAGCUCGGAACAGAUGAGCAGCAGCAGCGCUUCCACGGAGGCCCGCUCCACGUCGGAGGCCUCCUCCAAGGAGGCGCUGCAGGCCAUGAUCCUCAGCCUGCCGCGCUACCACUGCGAGAACCCCGCCAGCUGCAAGUCGCCCACGCUGUCCACCGACGUCAUGAGGAAACGCCUCUACCGCAUCGGACUCAACCUCUUCAACGUGAAUCCCGACAAGGGACUCCAGUUCCUGAUCUCGCGAGGCUUCAUCCCUGACACCCCCAUUGGUGUGGCCCACUUCCUGCUGCAGAGGAAAGGUCUGAGUCGGCAGAUGAUCGGGGAGUUCCUGGGCAACAGCAAGAAGCCCUUCAACAGGGAUGUUCUCGACUGCGUGGUGGACGAGAUGGAUUUUUCCGGCAUGGAGCUGGACGACGCGCUGAGGAAGUUCCAGGCCCACAUUCGAGUCCAGGGGGAGGCGCAGAAAGUGGAGCGUCUCAUUGAGGCCUUCAGCCAGCGCUACUGCAUGUGCAACCCCGACGUGGUGCAGCAGUUCCACAACCCGGACACCAUCUUCAUCCUGGCUUUCGCCAUCAUCCUCCUCAACACGGACAUGUACAGCCCCAACAUCAAGCCCGACCGCAAGAUGCUGCUGGAGGACUUCAUACGCAACCUUCGAGGCGUUGACGACGGAGCGGACAUCCCUCGCGACAUGGUGGUGGGCAUCUACGAGAGGAUACAGAUGAGAGAGCUGCGCUCCAACGAGGACCACGUCACCUACGUCUCCAAGGUGGAACAGUCCAUUGUCGGCAUGAAAACGGUUCUCUCGGUGCCUCACAGAAGACUGGUGUGCUGCAGUCGUCUCUUUGAGGUGACGGACGUCAGCAAGGCCCAGAAGCAGGCGGCGCACCAGCGAGAAGUCUUCCUCUUCAACGAUCUCAUUGUGAUACUGAAGCUUUGUCCAAAGAAGAAGAGUUCAGCAGCCUACACGUUCUGCAAAGCCCUGGGACUUCUUGGCAUGCAGUUCCACCUGUUUGAGAACGAAUAUUACCCUCACGGCAUCACCAUCCUCUCGCCGUUUGGCUCCGACAAGAAGCAGGUGCUCAACUUCUGCGCCCAGAGUGCAGAGGAGCUGCUCAAGUUCGUGGAAGACCUCAAGGAGUCCAUCGCUGAGGUGUCGGAGAUGGAGCAGAUACGCAUUGAGUGGGAGCUGGAGAAGCAGCAGGGGUCCAAGGCGCACUCGAUAAACAACGGCACACAACUGGAACUACGCGGCAAACAUGGCGGCACGUCAACAGGAAUCCAGGAAGGCGAGGACAUCGGCGGACACAAUGCAGUCGAGGUGUCAAUUCACAACAGGCUUCAGACGUACCAGCUCAGCACGAGUCCCGAGAGCGCGGCCCUUCUUAACCACCGGGGGGAGCUGCUCUUCCACCCGGGGCUAACCCAGGGCCCGGCGGCGCCUCCACCUCAACAUCUGCAGCUGCGCUCGGCGGCCAGCACCCCCGCCCACCGGCCAUACCCCCAGCCGCCGCCGCCGCCAUUGCCGCAUCCGCCGCCGGCCGCCAGCAUGGCCGAUCUGCGGCCCGAGACGCUCAUCCAGUGUCAGCAGAUCGUCAAGGUCAUCAUGCUGGACAACAGCGGCCACGCCCGCAUGGAGGCCUUCCUCAGCCACGCGCCUGCCCACCCGCUCCACCACCACCACCACCACCACCUCCACCACCAGCAUUACCAGCUCAGCCAGUCGGCCACGUCCACGCCGCUUCGCUCGCCCGACAACUCGCACGGCGGCGGGGGUGACGGCCACCAGCCCCCGCUCCCCCCACCGCCGCCGCCGUACAACCACCCGCACCAGUACAUCCCCCCUGACCCCCGCCUCAGUCUACAUCGGACCCCGAGUGGCUCUCGGAGCAUGGUGUAAAUAGAAUCACUGUCCAUCAUGUACAUACAGAUGAUAGAUAGAUAUAUGGAUGGAUGGAUGGAUGGAUGGAUGGAUAUAUGGAAAAUGGAUGGAUGGAUGAAUGGAUGGAUGGAUGAAUAGAUGGAUGGAUAGAUGGAUGGAUAGACAGAUGGAUGGAUGAAUGCAUGGAUGAAUGGAUGGAUGAAUGGAUAGAUGGAUGGAUGGAUGGGUGAAUGGAUGGAUGAUAGAUGGAUGGAUGGAUGGAUGGGUGAUAGAUCGAUAAAUAGACGGAUGGAUGGGAGGAUAGAUGGAUGGAUGGAAAAUGGAUGGAUAGAUGGAUAGAUAGAUGAUAGACAGAUGGAUGGAUGGAUGAUAGAUAGACGGAUGGAUGGGUGGAGGAUAGAUGGUUGAUGGAUAGAUGGAUGAGUGCAUGGAUGGACGGAUGGAUGGAUGGAUGGAUAGAUGGAUGGAUGAACAGAUAGAUGGAUGGAUGAAUGGAUGGACAGAUGGAUAGAAUGGAUGGAUGGACGGAUAGAUGAUAGAUAGAUGGAUGGAUAAACAGAUGGAUGGAUGGAUGAUAGAUUGAUGGAUGGAUAGACGGAUGGAUGGGUGGAGGAUGGAUGGAUGGAUAGAUGGUUGAUGGAUAGAUGGAUGAGUGGAUGUAUAGAUGGAUGGAUGGACGGACGGAUGGAUGGAUGGAUGGACGGAUAGAUGGAUGGAUGGAUGAACAGAUAGAUGGAUGGAUGAAUGGAUGGACAGACAGAUGGAUAGAAUUAAUGGAUGGACGGAUAGAUGAUAGAUAGAUGGAUGAUAGACAGAUGGAUGGAUGGAUGAUAGAUAGAUGGAUGGAUGGAUAGACGGAUGGAUGGGUGGAGGAUGGAUGGAUGGAUAGAUGGUUGAUGGAUAGAUGGAUGGAUGGAUGGAUGAACAGAUAGAUGGAUGGAUAGGAUGGAUGGACAGAUGGAUAGGAUGGAUGGAGGAAUGGAUGGAUGGACGGAUGGAUAGUGGAUGGAUGGAUGGAUGAAUGAUAGAUAUAUGAAUGGAUGGACAAAUCACACUUCUAUGCUUCUAUUUAGGCAUAUACGCUUAGAUGACCAUUUUAAAGAAAGAAGAAGAAACAUGGAGCAUAUACGUACGUACAUACAUACGUACAUACAUAGGACAUAGGACUUUACUUGACUACACGUGGAUUUUCAAAACACGUUUUUAGAACUAUUUGCCACUUUUAACUCUCGCUUAUUAAAAGGCAGCAGACCAGGACGCAGGAGAAGAUAAUAACACCAUCCUCCCUUCCUUCCCUCCCUCUCUUCCUUCCUUCCUCCCUCUCUUUCCCUUCCUCCCUUCAUCCUCAUCGAUGACUCUUGUGCCAAAAAUAUCAACAAAAAAAGCCUCCACUUGAAUAAAAAGAAAGCUUGAUUGUCGCUAGGGCUCCAGAAGAGAAGACUAUGUCCUUGCUCCUCAAGGGAUGGAUUUAUUUAUGACCAACGGAUUGACAACCGUUUGCUUCCAUGCAAAUUCAGGAGGACAACACAUCUCUCCAACACGCUUGCAGGAGGAACUUUGAUCUUACGGAGACUCACUGUGGCCGCCAUGUUUCUCUUGCUUUUCUUCUCCGGCUCUUUUUGGUUUUUUCUUUGCUGUCCACUUUUGUCUGCGUGUUAUCUUCCUCAAUCUGCAGCCGUGCUUAGCUUUUGGUCUGACAUUCAUCCCAAAAGCUUGGAAAAAAUACCAACACCAGCUUGUUGUCGCAGCUGAGCUAUUUCUGUUUUGUAAAUAUCACAGGCCUCCUUUAGCUAGCCUCUUGAUAAUCACACGGAAAUGAUCACUCCCUUCCAGACCCGACUAGUCAACUCAAAUGACAGUUUGACGUUAUUAGUAAUGUCUUGAGUGUUCCAAUUGGGUUAACCCCAACCAGAAAAGCAGCUUCCAGACCUGACUAGUCAACGUAAUUUACAUUUUUACAAAUGUGAUGAUUAUUUCAGUCAAUUUGCAUAACCCCUCCCUCACGAAAAUGUGCAUCCAAACCCGACUAGUCAUCUUAAUUUACAUUAUUGCAAGUGUGAUGAUUAUUUCAGUCAAUUUGCAUAACCUCUCCCGAUAGGCAGCUGCCAGACCCGACUAGUCAACUUAAUUUAAAUUAUUAUAACUAUAUAAAUUAUGACUAUUUCAGUCAAUUUGCAUAGGCCCUCCCUCCCAAAAAGCAGCUCCCAGACCCGACUAGUCAACUUAAUUUACAUUAUUAGAAAUGUGAUGAUUAUUUCAGUCAAUUUGCAUAAUCCCUGUCUCCUGAAAAGCAGCUUCCAGACCCGACUAGUCAACUUAAUUUACAUUAUUAUUACCCCUCCCUCCCGAAAAGCAGCUUCCAGACCCGACUAGUCAACUUAAUUUACAUUAUUAUUACCCCUCCCUCCAGAAAAGCAGCUUCCAAACCCGACUAGUCAACUUAAUUUACAUUAUUAUUACCCCUCCCUCCUGAAAAAGCAGCCUCCAGACCCAACUAGUCAACUUAAUUUACAUAAUUAAAAAUUUAAUGAUUAUUUCAGUCGAUUUGCAUAACCCUUCCCUCCUGAAAAGCAGCUUCCAGACCUGACUAGUCAACUUAAUUUACAUUAUACCCCUCCCUCCUGAAAAGCAGCUUCCAGACCCGACUAGUCAACGUAAUUUACAUUUUUACAAAUGUGAUGUCAGUCAAUUUGCAUAACCCCUCCCUCCCGAAAAGCAGCUUCCAAACCCGACUAGUCAACUUAAUUUACAUAAUCAGAAAUGUGAUGACUUUCAGUCAAUUUGCAUAACCCCUCCCUCCUUAAAAGCCACUUCCAGACCCGACUAGUCAACUUAAUUUACAUUAUCAGAAAUGUGAUGAUUAUUUCAGUCAAUUUGCAUAACCCCUCCCUCCUUAAAAGCCGCUUCCAGACCCGACUAGUCAACUUAAUUUACAUUAUUAGAAAUGUGAUGAUUAUUUCAGUCAAUUUGCAUAACCCUUCCCUCCCUCCCUCCCUCCCGAAAAGCAGCUUCCAGACCCGACUAGUCAACUUAAAUGACGCCACGAUUAUUCCAGUCAAUUUGUGGUUUGGACACACCCGUCCUCCACCAGUCCCGCCUAGUUCGUGUAAAAUAACAAGUUUUGUUUUUUUUUUAAAAUAACAAACGCACCCCAAGCGAAAACAUAGGCAGAUGAUUUAUUAUGGGAUUUAUUUGUACUUAUUGGCUUGAUAAACAUUACAAUAUGAAGUUUGUUGGCUUUGCAUGUUAUCCCAGAGUAUGUUUUUGUGCAUGAUUGAAUCAAGUGUGAGCACAUGAAGGCUGAAGCCAUUUGAAAAAAAAGAUAUUAUUAUUCUAACCCCCCCCCCAGUCAAACAAAUACACUGACAGUAGGAUGCACAGUGGCUAAUAUCUGCUUUUUUUCUCCCCCGUUCAGUCGCCUUUUUGCUUUUUUUCCGGAAAUGCUUUACUCGUGUGUGUAUGUGCGUGUGUGCGUUGAGGGGACGUAAGCACGGCAACCAAUGUAGCAUUUCGGGAGUCCCGUGAGUGGCGGACCUUCACAUACAGGACACUGACCAAAGGGCUGUCCCAUACAAAUGCACUGCUUCAUGAAUGACUCCGAAAAUGUUCGGGAAUGUUGAUGUAAAGGGAAAAAAAAACACAUUCAUGAUAGUGGGAAGUGGGAAAAGGGAGUGUGAGAGAAAUGCACCAUCACUUCCCACAGUCAAAUUCCACCCUUUGACCUGUCUCUGCAGUAUAUCAACAUGCUAUUAAAUAGGAUUCCAGUCCAUCCAGCGCUAUGUUGUGUUGCUUUAAACGCCCCUUUUCCUGCAGCUUUAACACCACAAAGCAUUCCCAGAUGUUUUUUUUUUUUUUUUAUACACAUUUUAGUUCAUGCAUAUGCAGUACAAGGUACAGGAAUAAAAAUACCUCUUACGGUUUCAUUCAAAGUACACUUGUUGCAGUUCUUGACAAAAAGCUAACUUCAGAAAAAAACUGCAUUUUUUUUCACACUACUUCAUUUAUCGCGAUACCAUGUUUGCUUUAAACAAUAUCCUUGCUAAAAAUAAUCAAAAUAUUAUUUAGUAACACAGUAUAAGCAGCAUAUAUUUACAUUUUUCUAAUUGUUUUUGUGUUUUGUUCAUUAUGUAAACAAAAAUAAGACACAUAACUGACACUGAAAGAUUAAACAGAGGUUAAAGGUGAAUAUUUUCCAGGAGGGUUGCGGUUCUAGACGGGAGCUUCGCCAACAAUUUGAGUGAAAAGGUCAUGACCUGAUGGUUUGUCGUCCUGCUGGGAUGUUGUCAUCCUCUUCCAGCGCUGAAGGUAAAAAGAUAAACGUAUUUUUGUACCACCUGACAUGACAUCUUUUUGUUUUUUCAUUCAUCGGCAUGUGCAUGACAACAACAACGACGACGACGACGAUGCUAACCUGCUUGACGCUACCCGGCGUUCUGCAGAACAUGUAGAUGACGUAACCCGGGAUGAGAACCAUGGAGGACAUUGCCAUGAACCAGCCGAUGGUUUGGCCCCACAGCGGGUACACGUACUUGCCCAGGGUCAGGGGCGUCAUCUCCACGGCGCUGAAGAGACGAGCGGUCGUAACCGGCCGAGAUGGUUCCUACCGUACAACCAGGCGAUGGAGACCGUCUCGAAGAAGACCAGGAAGAGGAGACACAUCCCGCUGGCUGAGUAGUAGUCGAAGAGCUUGAAGACGUACAGGCCGCCCUGGAAGACGCACGCCACGUCAGUUUGUCAUCACGUGGGUGACGGCAGAUGCUGACACACCUGUGUGAUGUUGGAGAACCCGAUGAUGAAGGAGAUGAAGCAGACCAUGAGGAUGAAGCUCUUCUUCCUCUUCCUCAGCAGUAAGGGGUACUCGUCCAUGAGAGCUGUGAUGAAGCCUUCCACCGUGCAGAACUGAUUGGACAAUCACAAUGGCUUUGUCUGCAGAGCCAGGCUAGGCUAAGCUAGGCUAGGCUAGGCUAAGCUGCCUUCAUUCAGUGUUAUUGCUAGCUUUCCUUACUUAAAUAGCGGAAAAUAAACAUGUUAUAUUUCUAUUUG